UUACAGCCAUAUCACGUUGAAUCACUAGUUCCCGUACGAUCAUUGAAGUUAAGCAACGAUGACCUCAGUCAAUACCUAGAUGGAUGACAGCUUGGGAAUACCAGGUGUUGUAAG
This 114-nucleotide ribosomal RNA is filed under the name Acanthosepion pharaonis. The record is from RNAcentral. Lineage: Eukaryota; Metazoa; Mollusca; Cephalopoda; Sepiida; Sepiidae.